RNAcentral lists this long non-coding RNA (202 nucleotides) under Mytilus galloprovincialis (Mediterranean mussel). The record is from RNAcentral. Lineage: Eukaryota; Metazoa; Mollusca; Bivalvia; Mytilida; Mytilidae.
CAGAGAGCUAGAACUAAAUAUAGUUAUUCCUUACAGAUAUAGGAGAAAUCUCUAGAGGGUUAUGGUAAAUAAUUUAUUAAAUAAUGUUAUGAAACAGACUUCUGAAAAUAGAAAUAGAAAGUACAGUUGUGAGUGAGACUAUUUGGAGAUUAUUUAAAUGAAUUAUGAGUGUGUGUAUACACACUUUCAAAUGACCAAGAAC